Quercus robur (English oak) is the source of this 775-nucleotide long non-coding RNA. RefSeq lists it as uncharacterized. NCBI's taxonomy places the organism in Eukaryota, Viridiplantae, Streptophyta, Magnoliopsida, Fagales, Fagaceae. The transcript has 2 exons. The record is from RefSeq and is a predicted model, not a curated record.
AAGAUAAUAAUCAACCAGACCCAAAGGCCAAAGUCAUAAUUUUGAUAUAUAAUUUUACGAGUGGUGUCAGUAGAAAGAAAUUAUUUAAGCAAAGCUGAACAUGAAAAUUAUCCAACAAGUGGACUACGUGAAAAAAUGUGGGUUACGAAGGACAUUCACAAUUAGUAAUGGUUAGAUCUUAACCGAACUCUGUCUGAGAGAAGCGGCGGAAGGUUACGAAGCGAAGAGAACCCGUGAAGACUAUGAUGGGGCUGGAAGCUCUAAUGACAAAGCUCACCCAAAAAGGAUUGCAAGACUUCUAGAAAUUAUGGCCCAUGGUAACUCUGACUGUGAGGAGUCAAGUGAGUACAAAGACUGUAGUGAAGACUGAAGAGCUAAGUGAAAGUGACCUUGAAGGUUAAUCAACUUUUUUCCCUGUAUGCACAAGCCUAUCAUGCACGUUUGGAUCAGAGUAACUGUAGGAAAGUACCAAGGCGAGUGUGUCCAGUUGUGGAGGGAUAGCUGGUGUUGCUGACAGUUAAGCGACACUGGCAAAGACGGUGCAGAUGGAGUGGUUUUGCCUAAAUCAUGUGCUGGCAGGAAAAUUUUGAAGGUGUUGCAGCUCUGCCAUAUGCAGCUGAGUAGCUGCUAGAAGCCUAGCUGUUUUGCUCUGCAUCAUUCAUCUCUUAUAACAUUAAAGAAAUUUCCAGUAGAACUUGGCUUGGAUAGGGUGAUGAUUGUUGAUCACAAAGUGUUUCAAUUCAAAAGAAUCUAGAAAGGAUAUUUUCUGCAAGCA